CUUGGUCAUUUAGAGGAAGUAAAAGUCGUAACAAGGUUUCCGUAGGUGAACCUGCGGAAGGAUCAUUAAUGAAUUUCAAAGUCGGUCGGUUGUGCUGGCGUGAUUUGACGCAUGUGCACAUCGGUCGCAAAUCCACACACCUGUGCACCUAUAGACCUCGGAGGUUCGCUGGUCGAGCGGUGGACUAGAGCUCUCACGAGUUUGUUGCCGUUUGUCCGGCUUGAGCUUUUGGGGUAUUUUUACACACACAUGUAUGUUAUUGGGAUGUCGCAUGUGCUAUUAAGCACUGAAAAAGUAACAACUUUCAACAACGGAUCUCUUGGCUCUCGCAUCGAUGAAGAACGCAGCGAAAUGCGAUAAGUAAUGUGAAUUGCAGAAUUCAGUGAAUCAUCGAAUCUUUGAACGCACCUUGCACCCUUUGGUAUUCCGAAGGGUACGCCCGUUUGAGUGUCAUUGUAUUCUCACACCCGACAAUUUUUUGUCGGAGCUGUGGAUCUGGGCAUUGCCGUGGUCUCCACCAAGGCUUGUCUGAAAUGCAUGAGUGUGACCCAUCCGUCUUGGUGUCAUCUGGUGUGAUAAGUAUCAUUCUCUGGAGAUGAGUCCUUUGGACUCAGCAUCAAUGGGGUGGUGAAUGCUGCCAAUCGUCCCGCUUUUGGGACAAACUACCUUGACAAUUUGACCUCAGAUCGGGUGGGACUACCCGCUGAACUUAAGCAUAUCAAUAAGCGGAGGA
Molecule: ribosomal RNA, 733 nt
Filed under: uncultured fungus
Lineage: Eukaryota; Fungi
Description: eukaryotic LSU rRNA
Rfam family: 5.8S ribosomal RNA (bases 300-453)
Source: RNAcentral